This 301-nucleotide ribosomal RNA is filed under the name uncultured bacterium. RNAcentral's name for it is "partial 16S ribosomal RNA". It matches the Rfam family "Bacterial small subunit ribosomal RNA", at positions 509 to 807 of the family's 1533-position model. The record is from RNAcentral.
CAGCCGCCACGGGAAUACGGAGGGGGCUAGCGUUGUUCGGAAUCACUGGGCGUAAAGGGUGCGUAGGCGGAUUCUUAAGUCAGGGGUGAAAUCCCGAGGCUCAACCUCGGAACUGCCUUUGAUACUGGGGAUCUUGAGUCCGGAAGAGGUGAGUGGAACUGCGAGUGUAGAGGUGAAAUUCGUAGAUAUUCGCAAGAACACCGGUGGCGAAGGCGGCUCACUGGUCCGGAACUGACGCUGAGGCACGACAGCGUGGGGAGCAAACAGGAUUAGAUACCCCCGUAGUCCCUGUCUCUUAUAC